Molecule: ribosomal RNA, 811 nt
Filed under: uncultured bacterium
Lineage: Bacteria
Description: bacterial SSU rRNA
Rfam family: Bacterial small subunit ribosomal RNA
Source: RNAcentral
GUGCCAGCCGCCGCGUAAUACGCUAGGGCGCAAGCGUUAUCCGGAAUUAUUGGGCGUAAAGAGCUCGUAGGCGGUUUGUCGCGUCUGCCGUGAAAGUCCGGGGCUUAACCCCGGAUCUGCGGUGGGUACGGGCAGACUAGAGUGCAGUAGGGGAGACUGGAAUUCCUGGUGUAGCGGUGAAAUGCGCAGAUAUCAGGAGGAACACCGAUGGCGAAGGCAGGUCUCUGGGCUGUAACUGACGCUGAGGAGCGAACGCAUGGGGAGCGAACAGGAUUAGAUACCCUGGUAGUCCAUGCCGUAAACGUUGGGCACUAGGUGUGGGGGACAUUCCACGUUUUCCGCGCCGUAGCUAACGCAUUAAGUGCCCCGCCUGGGGAGUACGGCCGCAAGUCUAAAACUCAAAGGAAUUGACGGGGGCCCGCACAAGCGGCGGAGCAUGCGGAUUAAUUCGAUGCAACGCGAAGAACCUUACCAAGGCUUGACAUGAACCGGAAUGAUGCAGAGAUGUGUCAGCCACUUGUGGCCGGUUUACAGGUGGUGCAUGGAUGUCGUCAGCUCGUGUCGUGAGAUGUUGGGUUAAGUCCCGCAACGAGCGCAACCCUCGUUCCAUGUUGCCAGCGGGUUAUGCCGGGACUCAUGGGAGACUGGCGGGGUCAACUCGGAGCAGGUGGGACGACGUCAAUCAUCAUGCCCCUUAUGUCUGGCUCACGCAUGCUACAUGACGUACGAGGUGCGAUACUGUGAGUGGAGCUAUCCUAAAGCGUCUCAGUCCGAAUGAGUCUGCACCGACUCAUGAGGUGAGUCGCUAGUA